Acanthopagrus latus (yellowfin seabream) is the source of this 1075-nucleotide long non-coding RNA. RefSeq lists it as uncharacterized. The record is from RefSeq and is a predicted model, not a curated record. Lineage: Eukaryota; Metazoa; Chordata; Actinopteri; Spariformes; Sparidae. The transcript is spliced from 2 exons.
GUAUCUAAAAAUCCAUUGCAGAGGGAAGCGCUGCCAGUGCCGAGUGUAUGAACGCAUUAAAACCAGCUUGCACACACUCCGUGUUUGAUAUCGCCUUUUCCACUCCUGAAGAGCCCCUUAAUUGAAAUGCGGCAAACGAUUUGGCAUGAGAGCGACAGGCCCUAUUAGAUAUAGCUCUCUGUCAGCCGGGGUUAGCCGGCGAUGCUUUAUCGCUCUGCUAAAACCCAAACACUAAAACAACUGCCUGGCCCCGCUCUGGUCAAGGAAACCAUUUCAUCACCUGACGGCAGCCAUAUAGCAGGAGGAAUUAUGAGAGAGGUGUCGUGGCUGCUGGUGGCAGUGGAGAGAAGAGUGUGUGUGUGUGUGUGUGUGUGUGUGUGUGGUGGGGGAGCAGGGAUAAGUAGGGGUGGUGUAAUUUUCAUAAUUGAGGCGACGGCAGCGCGGGAGCAGAGAGAGGGUUGAGAUCUUGAAGCUGCAGUCGAAAUGCAAAGAAAGAAAACAGACGUGCCUUCACUAAAUUAAGGGUUUUGGAGUUAUCUCUUGCUCUUCUUCCAGUGUUCAGUCUUCCCGUGAUCCUCAUCAGCCUCAUUUUCCCUCCACACCUGUCUUGGAUCUGUUAAAUUAGCCCGGCCCUUUUACCUGUGUUGCUCCCCAGUCUGCUUUCCCUGCACUCCUGCACAGCAUCUCCUUCAUCAGCCCUUUCCCUGCUUCCAGUGUUAUCCAUUCAUUACCCCCACCCGUGUGCCUCCGCCUCACUCCACCUGCACCUCAGCCUCAGAUUAGUUCUGUUUAUAUUGACGUUGAGUCUGUAGUUCAGUCUUUGUUGACUUAUCUGUUGAGUUUCUGUGAUCCUGUCGUGUUUCCCUGAUCCUGUUCCAGCUGUUUAUCCUAAUAUACAUUAUUCAUUGUUAUUCCUGUUUGUAUAUAUUUAAAAAAAAACAAUGCAAAAAAAAUGUAGAAAUUGUAAUUGUGUUUGAUUUGGCGCCCCCCACAGACUCUAAAUGCAACACCACUUUCAUAAAUACAGGUCUGCAACAAUUCAUCACUCAAAAUGAAAGUGCUACCUACAAACAAA